GCCGGUGUAGCUCAGCGGUAGAGUAGCUGAUUCGUAAUCAGUUGGUCGUGAGUUCAAAUCUCACCAUCGGCU
Molecule: transfer RNA, 72 nt
Filed under: Phormidium sp.
Lineage: Bacteria; Bacillati; Cyanobacteriota; Cyanophyceae; Oscillatoriales; Oscillatoriaceae
Also listed under: 11 other names
Description: tRNA-Thr
Rfam family: tRNA
About the family: Transfer RNA (tRNA) molecules are approximately 80 nucleotides in length. Their secondary structure includes four short double-helical elements and three loops (D, anti-codon, and T loops). Further hydrogen bonds mediate the characteristic L-shaped molecular structure. tRNAs have two regions of fundamental functional importance: the anti-codon, which is responsible for specific mRNA codon recognition, and the 3' end, to which the tRNAs corresponding amino acid is attached (by aminoacyl-tRNA synthetases). tRNAs cope with the degeneracy of the genetic code in two manners: having more than one tRNA (with a specific anti-codon) for a particular amino acid; and 'wobble' base-pairing, i.e. permitting non-standard base-pairing at the 3rd anti-codon position.
Source: RNAcentral